This 121-nucleotide small nucleolar RNA is filed under the name Echinops telfairi (small Madagascar hedgehog). RNAcentral's name for it is "Small nucleolar RNA SNORA61 (ENSETEG00000026845.1)". Lineage: Eukaryota; Metazoa; Chordata; Mammalia; Afrosoricida; Tenrecidae. The record is from RNAcentral.
GCCCCCCAGUUUCCUUGCCCAUAGGAUCUCAACACUGGGCUGCGCGGUUAUAAGAGGAGGACCAGUAAAAUCGAAACGGACUUCAGUUCUGAUGUGGCACUCGAGCAAGUUCCAGACAAAG